AAAAUCCGUCGAAUUGCAAAAUCGUGAGGGUUCAAGUCCCUCUAUCCCCA
RNAcentral lists this transfer RNA (50 nucleotides) under Cryptostylis arachnites. Its description in RNAcentral is "partial tRNA-Leu". Lineage: Eukaryota; Viridiplantae; Streptophyta; Magnoliopsida; Asparagales; Orchidaceae. The record is from RNAcentral.